This 7257-nucleotide long non-coding RNA is filed under the name Solanum tuberosum (potato). RNAcentral describes it as "long non-coding RNA (STUB_LNC008760)". The record is from RNAcentral. Lineage: Eukaryota; Viridiplantae; Streptophyta; Magnoliopsida; Solanales; Solanaceae.
UUAAUUUGCUCAUACAAUUAUUCUACUAAUUUAUAUAGAACCAAUCCUUUUCUGAGAUUAAGUAGCACAAAUAUCGUAUUUUAAUCUUAGUUAAUGAAAGACAAAUUUUAAAAAGGUCAAAUAGGAAUAACAACUUUAUGUAUUCAUGUUUAGUGGAAACGAGAAGAUGCAAUACUUAGUUAUCAACGUAAGCCACUAUACCAUGAACAUAUGGUACGUGGAAUUAUUCAUACUAGCAACAUCAAAGGGUAAUAAUAAUAAUAAUUAUAGAGGUACAUUUAAUCCCUUACACAUCAUAAGUAAACACAUUUUAGUAAGGACGUUGUCCGACCCAGUUUCCAACAGGAUCAUAGUUGCAUGAAAUGAACCACCAUCCGUUGUUGCAACGAGCCCGACCACAACCUAGUCGAACUGAGUUGCGCCAGACUACUUGAGUAUAGUGUCCGCACACUUGUCCGCUUGCACAUUGGUUGGUACCAUAGUUGUAGUUUGGCUUCUCCCCCACCCACAAUUGCACAGCUGCCCUCCCCGUGAAAUCACCAGUUCCCUUGGCAAGGUUCUCCCCUGCACCGGAAUGAAUCAAGUUACAAUCACCAGUUCUUGAAUUGGCAUAAUUUUGUGCUCGGGAUGCCAAACCGGCAUCCCAAGACAUUGGCCCGACCCCGACUUGGGCACGGGCAUCGUUGUGAACCGCAAGAUAGUCUUGGGGUGAAUUUUGGGCAUCACAAGAGUGAAAUAUGGCUAAUACCAUGAGACAAGUGAGUAACAAUGAGAUGUUAAACAACCCCAUUUUGCUUUAGGUCUAGUGGAAAGAAAAUAAAUCUAAGUUAUUGUGAUUAUAAAUGUGAGAUAAGUAGUGUAUUUAUAAGUAAAAUUAAUUGUGGAAUUUUGUUUAGCAUGUGUGAAGAAAAUUCAAAGGAAAUUAGUAGAGGAAAUGAUAAAAAUGGUCUCUUAUCUUUGAUAGUAAGUUCAAAAUAGUCUCGUGUGUAUUUAGUUGAGCCAUUUUGGUCCUUCAAUUGUUUAGAAGUAAUUACUUUCGGUCCUGAUGGUAUCAAAGAUAAGUGAACAGUGUCUUCAUUGAAGGACUGCUUCUUCCUCCUUGAUAUUAUCAAAGGAUAAUAUACUUUGGUGGUAUUAAUGAGUAACUGAAUAGUGUUUUCAUUAAGAUUUGUUUCAGUCCUUCGAUGAGAAUACUCAAUCAUCCAUGAUAUCAUUACGGUAUUUCUACAUACUGUCGUGAUAUCAUUGAGGUAUGUUUGAAUUCUUCAAUAUUUUAAUUUUAAAAAAUAUAUUUCCUACUAAUUUAGAGUUUAAUAAAUAAGAUUGUGAAUUUAAUAAUUUUCUCAUAACUAUUUCUUAAAAAAAGAGUUAAAUCCUAUAUCUCAUACUAUAUCAUGUGCAAUAUAAAAAAGGAGAAAGUGGGGUAAGCAGGUAAAUAUUUUGAGGUAUAGGUCCAUUUAGGGUAAAUAGUUUGGAUAGAGUCCAAUUUAGAUAAAUAGUUUCAUAAUUGGGUCUAUCUUACAUAGUUUUUUCUAUUAAUUACGCUACUUAAUUUUUAAAUAUAUAAAUUUCAUAAUUUUAAAUAAGUAAAGAACCUAUGCCCAACUUCACACUAAGAAUUUAGUACUUUGACCCUCGUACUUGGAAUUUUUCAAUAUUAAUUUGCUCAUACAAUUAUUCAACUAAUUUAUAUAGAACCAAUCCUUUUCUGAGUUUAAGUAGCACAAAUAUCGUAUUUUAAUCUUAGUUAAUGAAAGACAAAUUUUAAAAAGGUCAAAUAGGAAUAACAACUUUAUGUAUUCAUGUUUAGUGGAAACAAGAAGAUGCAAUACUUAGUUAUCAACGUAAGCCACUAUACCAUGAACAUAUGGUACGUGGAAUUAUUCAUACUAGCAACAUCAAAGGGUAAUAAUAAUAAUAAUUAUAGAGGUACAUUUAAUCCCUUACACAUCAUAAGUAAACACAUUUUAGUAAGGACGUUGUCCGACCCAGUUUCCAACAGGAUCAUAGUUGCAUGAAAUGAACCACCAUCCGUUGUUGCAACGAGCCCGACCACAACCUAGUCGAACUGAGUUGCGCCAGACUACUUGAGUAUAGUGUCCGCACACUUGUCCGCUUGCACAUUGGUUGGUACCAUAGUUGUAGUUUGGCUUCUCCCCCACCCACAAUUGCACAGCUGCCCUCCCCGUGAAAUCACCAGUUCCCUUGGCAAGGUUCUCCCCUGCACCGGAAUGAAUCAAGUUACAAUCACCAGUUCUUGAAUUGGCAUAAUUUUGUGCUCGGGAUGCCAAACCGGCAUCCCAAGACAUUGGCCCGACCCCGACUUGGGCACGGGCAUCGUUGUGAACCGCAAGAUAGUCUUGGGGUGAAUUUUGGGCAUCACAAGAGUGAAAUAUGGCUAAUACCAUGAGACAAGUGAGUAACAAUGAGAUGUUAAACAACCCCAUUUUGCUUUAGGUCUAGUGGAAAGAAAAUAAAUCUAAGUUAUUGUGAUUAUAAAUGUGAGAUAAGUAGUGUAUUUAUAAGUAAAAUUAAUUGUGGAUUUUGGUUUAGCAUGUGUGAAGAAAAUUCAAAGGAAAUUAGUAGAGGAAAUGAUAAAAAUGGUCUCUUAUCUUUGAUAGUAAGUUCAAAAUAGUCUCGUGUGUAUUUAGUUGAGCCAUUUUGGUCCUUCAAUUGUUUAGAAGUAAUUACUUUCGGUCCUUUAAGUUUUUCAAAAAUGAGCAUUUUUUUUUAUCUUGAUUAGAUUUUUAUCAAACUUUGAUUGUUAAAUUUAAACAUUGUGGAAUUUUAUUUUUCAUAUUAAGAAAAUUCAAAUGUGAUUAGUACCUUGCAUGUCGUGUGAUUCAUAGAAUACUAUAUUCUUUAAAGAAUAGUCAUACUUUAAUCUAGGUAAUUCUUGUUUUUUUUUCAAAAUUAUAUUAUCAAAAUAAGGUUAAACAAGAUUAAUUAAGCAUUUUUGGGUGGAAUAAAAAGUCUAUAGAACAUAAGAAGACUUGAAUUACUAAAAAGAUAUAUAUUUUUUCUAUUAGAUGGGGCUCACACAUGUUCUACAAUCUCGUGAAGCAUAAAGAUGUAUAUUUUUUUUCCAUUAGAUGGGGCUCACACAUGUUCUACAGCCUCGUGAAGCAUGGACGUGACCAAAUGGUGAAGCAGCUAAAAUAAGGGCUUUAGGCUCCAAAAUUAUAGGGGUUUGAAUAAAAACUUUUUUUCUUAUACAAUGUCUUGGGUGUGUGCUGGAGUCCUCAUUAAUUUGAUUUAUGUCACAUAAGUACCUUUAAAGGGAAGUUCUAUCUAGCAGUCUUUAUUUUCAUUUUAGGAUUCGAACAUGGAACAUCCGAUCAAGAGAGGAUGCGAUUCAGUGUUUACUUGUAAAAUAUUUCAUGGAAAAAUGAUUUUAGGCCAUCGAUAUUAUUGAGCCGCCCUAAAUCUAUUGGGAGAAAAUUAUUGUACGAGAGAGAAGAGUGAGAAUUUGUUAGUCAUUGAAAGCAAUUUGAAUAUAAUGAAAACAAAAAAUAAACAAAGUGAUGGACACAUAAACCAGGACAAAUAUUUGGUCCUUUCUGUAGAAAUUAACUGCCUCACAUCCUGGCAGCUUCGAAUGAGAAUUAUUAAUUUUUAAAACGUUUUUAAGGGUUGAAGUUGAAUUUACGAAUAAAUAGUUACAUGUUUAAAUAAGUAUUAAAUAGAGAAUAAAUAAUUUGAUAUGCUUAAUAAAUAUAUGUGCACCUAAAGUAGUUCCUGACGAAUGUACUUCAUAUAAUAUUUUACAUAUAAAGUAUAAUUUUUCGAUAAAAGUUUUCAAUAGGUCACCGCCAGGGGAGGAGCCAGCAUGUCUUUAGGGGUUCAUCCGAAUCCCUUUUGGUGGAAAAUAUUACUAUAUAUACAUGGUUAAAAUUAUUUUUUAGAUGUAUAUAAUAGAUGUCGAACCCCCCUUCGACUAGUUCAUAUGUUUACUCCUUCGGAUUUUGAACCCCUUAUUAAAAAUCAUGGCUCUGCCACUAGUCACCGCUGCGUGGAAUUCCUGUUCCAUCACGUAAUUGGAGAGUUUUUUCUUGACUUCUAUUUUUAUUAUUAUGGAAUUAUCUACAGUUUAAUUCACUGAUUUUGAUUUGGAGAAUGACAAUAUGCUAAUUUUAUGUAUUAAACCUUAGUGUGAAGAUAAAAUAUUAUAUUUAUUUGACAACGUUACGUUUGUAUUAAAGUAAACUAGUAUAUAUAUAUAUUCGCGGAUAAUAUUAAAAAUAUUAUUUUUAAGUGUAUUAGAAUGUGUGACUUGCAAGUUUGAGUCAGUCAAAAUUACAGUUAUUUUUUGUGUGAUUAAUUAACUUAGUUAGAAAAUCAAAUAUAAUUAUUUCACUCGUACUUCAACUUAUAAUAACUAAACGAAGUCAAUCGGAACUCAUCAUAGCUUUCUGAGGGAUCGACUCAAGACUCAUAAUCAAGAUUAUAUUGAUUAUGCUCACUUAGUUUUUGAAUAUGUAAAUUUCAUAAUUUAAAAAAGGAAAUAAAGAAUCUAUGUCGUGUUAGUGUUUUGCCCUGAUUUUAAAAAAUAAAGGUCCUUUAAAUUUUUCAAAAGUGAACACUUUUGGUUUUGAGAAGAUAUUUAUCAAACUUUGAUUGUUAAAUUUAAUCGAAUUUGUAUAAAAUGUUAAAUUUAAACACUGUGGAAUUUUAUUUCACAUGUGAAGAAAAUUCAAAGGAGAUUAAUGUUACAUUGCAUGUCGUGUUAUUCAGGAAAUACUCUAUGCUUUAAAGAAUAGUCAUACUUUAAUCUAGGACAUUUCUUCACCCCAUAUUAUUCAGAUAAGAUUAAACAAGACUUAGUAAGUGUUUUUGGGUGGAAUAUUCACAAUAGGUAAAAUAUGCGCUCUCAAUAAUUACAUGCAAGUCUACGGAGCAUAGAAAGACAAGAUGCUUAUAUCGUAUAUUUGCUAAAUGAAUCUAAUUCUAAUACAACUUUAUAUCUCAAUUAAAUUGGACUCGCACAUGUUCUACAGUCUCGUGAAUCAUGUUGAAGCAACUAAAGCAAGGACUUUAGGCUCCAAAAUUUUAGGGUUCCGAUUUUUAUUUUUUAUUUUCUCAUACAAUGUCUAGAAUCUAUGUUGAAGUCACGAUUAAUUCAAUUUCGUGUCACAUAAGGUUCUUUAAAGGAAGAAGCUCUCUAGCAAUAUUUGUUUUCCUUUUGAGAUUUGGACUCAAUAUCUCUGAUCAAGAGAGGAAGCGAUUCAGUUUUAUUUAGCUAUAAAAUAUUUUAUGAAAAUUUGAUUUUAAACCAUCGAUCUUAUUGAGCCACCCUUGCGUGAAUGUAUUGGAAGAAAAUUAUUCUAUGAGAGAGAGAAGACUAAGUAUUUAUUAGUCAUUGAAAGCAAUUUGGAUAUAAUGAAAACAAAAAAAUAAAGAAAGUGAUGGACACUUAAACCAGAACAAAUUUUUGGUCCUUUGUGUGGAAAUUAACUGCUUCACAUCCUUGCAGCUUCGAAUGAGAUUUUUUUUAAAAAAAUUUGAAAGUGUUGAAGCUGAAUUUAUGAAUAAAUAGUUAUAUGUUUAGAUAAGUUUUAAAUGGAGCAUAAAUAGUUUGAUUUGCUUAAUUAUAUAUGCACACAUUAAGUAAUUUCUAUCGUAUAUAUUUUGUAUAUUUCUUUUAUAUAUAAAAUAUAAUUUUUUGGUGAAAAGUGUUCAACGAUAGUCGCUAUAGUGUGUGGAAUUCAUGUUCCAUCACAUAAUUGGAGAGUUUUUUCUUGACUUUCUUUUUAUUAUUACUAUUAUUUAUGGAUUUUUAUAUAGUUUAAUUCACUGAUUUUGAUUCGGAGAAUGACAAUAUACUAGAGUUUUAAUUUACCCUUUGUUUGGUUAUAAUAUAUUAUAUUUAUUUGACUGCGUUUGCAUUAUAGUAUAAAUUGUUUGGAAUUACUUGUUUGUUUUGGGAAAGACUUGCAAGUUUGAGUCGGUCAAAAUUACACUGUGAUUAAUCAACUUAAUUAGAAAAUCAAAUAUAAUUUUAUACUUCACUCGUAUUCCACUUAAACUAACUAAAUUAAGUUAAACGGAACUCACCAUAGCUUUUCUGUGGUAUUGAGUUGUAUAUAAAUACUAGUAACGAAAGCCCGGGCGCUGCCCGGGCCCUGUGGUAUUGAGUUGUAUAUAAAUAUACUCUGAUGGUAUCAAAGAUAACUGAACAGUGUCUUCAUUGAAAGACUGCUUCUUCCUCCUUGAUAUUAUCAAAGUAUAAUAUACUUUGGUGGUAUUAAUGAGUAACCGAAUAGUGUUUUCAUUAAGGUUUGUUUCAGUCCUUCGAUGAGAAUACUCAAUCAUCCAUGAUACCAUUACGGUAUAUCUACAUACUGUCGUGGUAUCAUUUAGGUAUGCUUGAAUUCUUCAAUAUUUUAAUUUUAAAAAAUAUAAAAAUAUAUUUCCUACUAAUUUAGAGUUUAAUAAAUAAGAUUGUGAAUUUAAUAAUUUCUCUUAAUUAUUUCUUAAAAAAAGAGUUAAAUCCUAUAUCUCAUACUGAUAUCAUACGCGAUAUAAAAAAGGAGAAAGUGGGGUAAGCAUGUAAAUAUUUUGAGGCAUGGGUCCAUUUAGGGUAAAUAGUUUGGAUAAAGUCCAAUUUAGAUAAAUAGUUUCAUAAUUGGGUCUAUCUUACAUAGUUUUUUCUAUUAAUUACGCUACUUAAUUUUUAAAUAUAUAAAUUUCAUAAUUUUAAAUAAGUAAAGAACCUAUGCCCAACUUCACACUCGUACUUGGAAUUUUUCAAUAUUAAUUUGCUCAUACAAUUAUUCUACUAAUUUAUAUAGAACCAAUCCUUUUCUGAGAUUAAGUAGCACAAAUAUCGUAUUUUAAUCUUAGUUAAUGAAAGACAAAUUUUAAAAAGGUCAAAUAGGAAUAACAACUUUAUGUAUUCAUGUUUAGUGGAAACGAGAAGAUGCAAUACUUAGUUAUCAACGUAAGCCACUAUACCAUGAACAUAUGGUACGUGGAAUUAUUCAUACUAGCAACAUCAAAGGGUAAUAAUAAUAAUAAUUAUAGAGGUACAUUUAAUCCCUUACACAUCAUAAGUAAACACAUUUUAGUAAGGACGUUGUCCGACCCAGUUUCCAACAGGAUCAUAGUUGCAUGAAAUGAACCACCAUCCGUUGUUGCAACGAGCCCGACCACAACCUAGUCGAACUGAGUUGCGCCAGACUACUUGAGUAUAGUGUCCGCACACUUGUCCGCUUGCACAUUGGUUGGUACCAUAGUUGUAGUUUGGCUUCUCCCCCA